UGAAAAAGAAUACCCACAGACAAGGCAUGGGUGGUGGGUAACCAAAAGCUGACCUCACCCCAGCAGAGGACCUAGCCUUGGAACGAUAUAAAGGCAGGCCUGUUGGAGGGGAUCCCUGGGGGAAAAGAGACAAGCAUAGGUCCCUCCCAAGAUGCCACUCGCUUCAUACAAGUGUCUGACAGCACUGUGUUACUGUUAGAGCCACCAACACAAACACCAGACGAUGCUGAUCCAAUGAGUACUCCAUCAAAGGCAUACUGUAGGCCUGGCAUGUCUUGUCUACUAGCUUCAAUAUGAAUCUGAUUAAAUGUGAUAGGGUGAAGGCCCCAGUGCAGCAGCAACAGUACAUGAUGGAGACAAUGAUGAGGAUGAGACAGGAUUCUCUCAGGAUUCCAGAAGGCAUGAGGUAUCAUGUCAAGCCUGUGAAAGUAAUAUUCGAAAAAAAAAGGAAAAUCUUGCACUGGAAGCCGAAAUAAAAAAAAGGACAAUUAGGAAACUGGACCUUGAAAUAAAAAAACUUGAGCUGGAGGUGACUUAUGCCUUUAAUGUACACUGUACGCUAACUCUAACACAAAUGUAUUAAUCAUUAUUCUCCUUUCCUCCCCCAGCUCCAAGAAGAUGACACAUCUUAAGAUAAAAAAUAUAAGAAAUAUUCUUGUAAAAUCAAGUGAGCCAUGACCUUUGAGCUCCCAUUGUGAGCACACAGGACCAGCUGCAUUUUUAAUAGAUUGUUUUUUAUUUUCCCCAGCAAUCAGUACAAAAAAACCUCAUUAUAAGGCACCGCCCCCUUUUGCCCACCUCCCAGCGCCAGGUGUUGCCACUAGCCUAUAUAAAGGCCCAAAAUGGUGUGUUCCUUUCUGCUUUGACAAUGGCAUGCCCAUUUUUGCAAGAUGUGGUGGAUGAAGAAGUACUUGUGCUCAGGACAGCCUUCAGACGAGAAAGGGUCUUCAGGGACCGUUUGGAAGCACUGGCAUUUGGAUGCCAUCAGGUAUCUGUGCAGACUGCCGGGUCCCAGGAUUAAGCACCGCACACCAUAGAGCCAUGCACUGAGUGUGGAGCAAAUGAUUUGUGUGGCCUUGUGCUUUUUUGCAAGUGGAGCCUUCCUGUACUCAGUGGGGGAUGCAGUACAGCUGAACAAGGCCACAAUUUGCAGCACAAUAAGGAGUGUGUGUCUGGCUAUCAACGCAUUAGCAGAUGUCUUCAUCUCAUUCCCUGGUCACAGAAGACUCUGUGACAUCAAAGAGGAGUUCUAUAGGAUUGCAGAUGAUCUGCAAUGCUGACUGUGUGAUCAGCAUUGUUGUGGCAAAAUGGCCUGGCUCAGUCCAUGACUCCAGAAUCUUUCGGGCCUAUGAAAUCUAUUAGCGCCUAUCAUAAGGUGAAUUAUCUGGUGUUUUGCUGUGAGACAGAGGGUAUGGCUGCAAGCCUUUUCUACAGACACCUUUCACAGACCCCCAGGAAGCACAGCAGGCCUACUAUGCCCAUGCCAGGGCCAGAGUUGAAAUGACCUUUGGCUUCCUGAAGGCACACUUUCACUGCCUCCACAAAUUAAGGGUCAGCCCUGUGAGGGCAUGUGACAUUACUGUGGCUUGUGCUGUCCUCCACAAUGUGACAUGCCUGAGGAAGGAGAGGGCCCCCAGAGUGCCGCCAGCCAUGGACUCAUUGGCUGCUGAGGGACCAAUAUGGGUUGAAUUGUUAAUAUGUGUGCUUUCAAUUUAGGCAAAUAGCCAGAGUAAUUUUUUUUUUGGGGGGAGGGUUGAUUCUUUAUUGAUUUGGCCUCUUUUGAUGUUUGUGCUGUAUACUGUGUGUAUACUGUUUGUAAUACAAGCUUGCAGGGAGGCUACUGCAUCCAUUCAUUUGUCUGACCAGUCGAUCGCAAAGGCAAUCCCUGUAGAUCACACGCAAGUUAACUGUGUAUGCUGCAUCACCUCUACGAGCUUCAGAAAACAGAGCGGGAAAUUGGCAUUAUGAUCUGAGGGUAAUUGUGAAACACGCAAGUCUUUUUGAGUUGCUGUGCCUUUCUUCUGAAAUGUGUUUUUAUAAAUCUUAUGCCUGCCCGCUGCAGGUCAGUCAUCUUAUUCCGAAAAUUACCAGGAUGCGCUCUUGCAUUCAUGCAGGAGCUGAUCCAUGCGCACACUGUGUGCGAUCGAACAAGAGAAAGAGAGAGAGAGAGAUACGCUUCUGAUACUGUUGUCAUUAUCUAGUUUGUUUCACUAAACCGCAUCUCUGCUAUUUUAAGGAGUACUCGACAUGUACUCAAUGAUUUUUUUUAAACUCCUCAAAAAGAAUGGAGUAAUGGUGACAGCCCUAAAUUCAGUGUAGAGAUAUAUGCAGUAUAGUCCUAAUACGCAUUUAAAGGCAGAGUGCACAAUGUUUGAAAAACGCUUUGGAAAAGGGAGUCGGGCCGACUACCAAAACACACUUGUAGUCAAUCAGCAUUAAGGGGCAUGUCUACUAACCAACAUCCUUGCCGGGGUUGCGUAUGUGUGGGGCAGGUCUAUCAAAAGAAGGUCCAGAUUCUAUUGGGGUAGGGGCGUGUAUGUUUAGGUGAUUUCAAAUAUCAACAUUGGCAUUCAAAUAUUGUGCACUCCGCCUUUAAAGUGUUUUUAGAUUAAACUGUGUUCUUUAUCAGGUAGAUCUUGUCGGCUUUAUCAUUUUAAUAGUAGAUCGCCACACAAAAAAGUCUGGACACCCCUGUUGUAGAGUCACUGGUGACUUCAGUUUCGAAAGGAGCUGAUAGUU
Molecule: non-coding RNA, 2739 nt
Organism: Misgurnus anguillicaudatus (oriental weatherfish)
Lineage: Eukaryota; Metazoa; Chordata; Actinopteri; Cypriniformes; Cobitidae
Source: RefSeq, a predicted model, not a curated record